UACAGAGGUCCCAAGCGUUGUUCGGAUUCACUGGGCGUAAAGGGUGCGUAGGCGGUCGGGUAAGUCUGACGUGAAAUCUUCGAGCCUAACUCGGAAACUGCGUCGGAUACUAUUCGGCUAGAGGAAUGGAGGGGAGACUGGAAUACUUGGUGUAGCAGUGAAAUGCGUAGAUAUCAAGUGGAACACCAGUGGCGAAGGCGAGUCUCUGGACAUUUCCUGACGCUGAGGCACGAAAGCCAGGGGAGCAAACGGG
RNAcentral lists this ribosomal RNA (253 nucleotides) under uncultured bacterium. RNAcentral's name for it is "partial 16S ribosomal RNA". It matches the Rfam family "Bacterial small subunit ribosomal RNA", at positions 524 to 776 of the family's 1533-position model. The record is from RNAcentral.